UGAGGAUGAUUACUUGAUGACGAGUCCGACUCUCGUGGUGCACGAGUUUCUCGUAUGCCCGUGCUUGACGACACACUUUUUAUUAUACCAUUCAUGCUUUCCUGAAA
Molecule: small nucleolar RNA, 107 nt
Filed under: Exidia glandulosa HHB12029
Lineage: Eukaryota; Fungi; Basidiomycota; Agaricomycetes; Auriculariales; Exidiaceae
Source: RNAcentral